AGAGUUUGAUCCUGGCUCAGGAUGAACGCUAGCUACAGGCUUAACACAUGCAAGUCGAGGGGCAGCAUGACCUAGCAAUAGGUUGAUGGCGACCGGCGCACGGGUGAGUAACACGUAUCCAACCUGCCGAUUAUUCCGGGAUAGCCUUUCGAAAGAAAGAUUAAUACUGGAUAGCAUAACGAGAAGGCAUCUUCUUGUUAUUAAAGAAUUUCGAUAAUCGAUGGGGAUGCGUUCCAUUAGUUUGUUGGCGGGGUAACGGCCCACCAAGACAUCGAUGGAUAGGGGUUCUGAGAGGAAGGUCCCCCACAUUGGAACUGAGACACGGUCCAAACUCCUACGGGAGGCAGCAGUGAGGAAUAUUGGUCAAUGGACGAGAGUCUGAACCAGCCAAGUAGCGUGAAGGAUGACUGCCCUAUGGGUUGUAAACUUCUUUUAUAUGGGAAUAAAGUGAGCCACGUGUGGCUUUUUGUAUGUACCAUACGAAUAAGGAUCGGCUAACUCCGUGCCAGCAGCCGCGGUAAUACGGAGGAUCCGAGCGUUAUCCGGAUUUAUUGGGUUUAAAGGGAGCGUAGGCGGAUUAUUAAGUCAGUUGUGAAAGUUUGCGGCUCAACCGUAAAAUUGCAGUUGAUACUGGUAAUCUUGAGUGCAGCAGAGGUAGGCGGAAUUCGUGGUGUAGCGGUGAAAUGCUUAGAUAUCACGAAGAACUCCGAUUGCGAAGGCAGCUUACUGGACUGUAACUGACGCUGAUGCUCGAAAGUGUGGGUAUCAAACAGGAUUAGAUACCCUGGUAGUCCACACAGUAAACGAUGAAUACUCGCUGUUUGCGAUAUACAGCAAGCGGCCAAGCGAAAGCAUUAAGUAUUCCACCUGGGGAGUACGCCGGCAACGGUGAAACUCAAAGGAAUUGACGGGGGCCCGCACAAGCGGAGGAACAUGUGGUUUAAUUCGAUGAUACGCGAGGAACCUUACCCGGGCUUAAAUUGCAACUGACGGAUUUGGAAACAGAUCUUCCUUCGGGCAGUUGUGAAGGUGCUGCAUGGUUGUCGUCAGCUCGUGCCGUGAGGUGUCAGCUUAAGUGCCAUGACGAGCGCAACCCUUAUCUUUAGUUACUAACAGGUCAUGCUGAGGACUCUAGAGAGACUGCCGUCGUAAGAUGUGAGGAAGGUGGGGAUGACGUCAAAUCAGCACGGCCCUUACGUCCGGGGCUACACACGUGUUACAAUGGGGGGUACAGAAGGCAGCUACACAGCGAUGUGAUGCUAAUCCCAAAAGCCUCUCUCAGUUCGGAUUGGAGUCUGCAACCCGACUCCAUGAAGCUGGAUUCGCUAGUAAUCGCGCAUCAGCCACGGCGCGGUGAAUACGUUCCCGGGCCUUGUACACACCGCCCGUCAAGCCAUGAAAGCCGGGGGUACCUGAAGUACGUAACCGCAAGGAGCGUCCUAGGGUAAAACUGGUAAUUGGGGCUAAGUCGUAACAAGGUA
This 1481-nucleotide ribosomal RNA is filed under the name metagenome. RNAcentral's name for it is "bacterial SSU rRNA". It matches the Rfam family "Bacterial small subunit ribosomal RNA". The record is from RNAcentral.